RNAcentral lists this ribosomal RNA (413 nucleotides) under uncultured prokaryote. RNAcentral describes it as "bacterial SSU rRNA". It matches the Rfam family "Bacterial small subunit ribosomal RNA", at positions 505 to 918 of the family's 1533-position model. The record is from RNAcentral.
GUGCCAGCAGCCGCGGUAAUACAAACCGUCCAAACGUUAUUCGGAAUCACUGGGCUUAAAGGGUGUGUAGGCGGUUCGGCAAGUCAGAUGUGAAAUCCCCCGGCCUAACCGGGGAACUGCGUUUGAAACUGCCGUGCUUGAGUGCGAUAGGGGUGCGCGGAACUUCCAGUGGAGCGGUGAAAUGCGUUGAUAUUGGAAGGAACGCCGGUGGCGAAAGCGGCGCACUGGGUCGUUACUGACGCUGAGACACGAAAGCCAGGGGAGCGAACGGGAUUAGAUACCCCGGUAGUCCUGGCUGUAAACGAGGGGCACUAGACGGGAGACGCUUCGGCGGAUCCGGUCGCAGCGAAAGCACUAAGUGCCCCGCCUGGGGAGUAUGGUCGCAAGGCUGAAACUUAAAUGAAUUGACGGGG